RNAcentral lists this non-coding RNA (26 nucleotides) under Homo sapiens (human). Lineage: Eukaryota; Metazoa; Chordata; Mammalia; Primates; Hominidae. The record is from RNAcentral.
AUCGCUGUACGGCCUUGAUGAAAGCA